Molecule: long non-coding RNA, 335 nt
Filed under: Salmo trutta (river trout)
Lineage: Eukaryota; Metazoa; Chordata; Actinopteri; Salmoniformes; Salmonidae
Description: lncRNA (ENSSTUG00000048727.1)
Source: RNAcentral
CUGCGUGUAUGUUGUCAUUAUUUUAUCAACCGUGUAGACGUCGGUUCAUAUUGACCUAUUGCUGUAUAAUUGUGAUGUAAAAAAACGAUUUCAUGUGGAUUAUGUUUUUGUUCAAUGUAGGAUUUAUUAAUCCGUGUGAUCCUGACAAUAGCUAACUGGUGGCUACACAGCGGAUAUAACGUUAACUAAACGAGCCAUGUAAGCUAGCUGGGAGUGGGAGCCAGGGAUGUGCGUCUGUUGAAGUGCAGUGCUUGCUAGCAACUCGUAUUUCCACCAGGAUUCAAAAGAAGUCUACUAAUACGGAGCUGGCAACAUCACUCAAGUUAACUAGUCUU